AGCGAACGCUGGCGGCAGGCUUAACACAUGCAAGUCGAGCGGGCACUUUCGGGUGUCCGCGGCGGACGGGUGAGUAACGCGUGGGAACGUGCCCUCUGGUUCGGAAUAACUCAGGGAAACUUGAGCUAAUACCGGAUACGCCCUUUUGGGGAAAGGCUUGCUGCCGGAGGAUCGGCCCGCGUCUGAUUAGCUAGUUGGUGAGGUAACGGCUCACCAAGGCGACGAUCAGUAGCUGGUCUGAGAGGAUGAUCAGCCACACUGGGACUGAGACACGGCCCAGACUCCUAAGGGAGGCAGCGGUGGGGAAUAUUGGAAACUGCGCGCAAGCCUGAUCCAGCCAUGCCGCGUGAGUGAUGAAGGCCUUAGGGUUGUAAAGCUCUUUUAUCCGGGACGAUAAUGACGGUACCGGAGGAAUAAGCCCCGGCUAACUUCGUG
This 435-nucleotide ribosomal RNA is filed under the name uncultured bacterium. Its description in RNAcentral is "partial 16S ribosomal RNA". It matches the Rfam family "Bacterial small subunit ribosomal RNA", at positions 29 to 507 of the family's 1533-position model. The record is from RNAcentral.